RNAcentral lists this small RNA (449 nucleotides) under uncultured bacterium. Its description in RNAcentral is "bacterial SSU rRNA". It matches the Rfam family "Bacterial small subunit ribosomal RNA", at positions 507 to 954 of the family's 1533-position model. The record is from RNAcentral.
UCCAGCAGCCGCGGUAAUACGGAGGGUGCGAGCGUUGUCCAGAAUCACUGGGCGUAAAGGGCGCGUAGGUGGCAGGGCAAGCGUGCGGUGAAAGCCCGGGGCUCAACUCCGGGUCGGCCGUGCGAACUGCCUUGCUCGAGCACGGUAGAGGCAGGUGGAAUUCCGGGUGUAGCGGUGGAAUGCGUAGAGAUCCGGAAGAACACCGGUGGCGAAGGCGGCCUGCUGGGCCGUGGCUGACACUGAGGCGCGACAGCGUGGGGAGCAAACAGGAUUAGAUACCCUGGUAGUCCACGCCGUAAACGAUGGGCACUAGGUGCUUGGGGGAGCGACCCCCUGGGUGCCGGCGCUAACGCAUGAAGUGCCCCGCCUGCGGAGUACGGCCGCAAGGCUGAAACUCAAAGGAAUUGACGGGGGCCCGCACAAGCGGUGGAACAUGUGGUUUAAUUCGA